GACGAACGCUGGCGGCGUGCUUAACACAUGCAAGUCGAACGGAAAGGCCCUGCUUUUGUGGGGUGCUCGAGUGGCGAACGGGUGAGUAACACGUGAGUAACCUGCCCUUGACUUUGGGAUAACUUCAGGAAACUGGGGCUAAUACCGGAUAGGAGCUCCUGCUGCAUGGUGGGGGUUGGAAAGUUUCGGCGGUUGGGGAUGGACUCGCGGCUUAUCAGCUUGUUGGUGGGGUAGUGGCUUACCAAGGCUUUGACGGGUAGCCGGCCUGAGAGGGUGACCGGCCACAUUGGGACUGAGGUACCGGCCAGACUCCUACGGGAGGCAGCAGUGGGGAAUAUUGCACAAUGGGCGGAAGCCUGAUGCAGCAACGCCGCGUGCGGGAUGACGGCCUUCGGGUUGUAAACCACUUUCGCCUGUGACGAAGCGUGAGUGACGGUAAUGGGUAAAGAAGCACCGGCUAACUACGUG
Molecule: ribosomal RNA, 468 nt
Filed under: uncultured bacterium
Lineage: Bacteria
Description: partial 16S ribosomal RNA
Rfam family: Bacterial small subunit ribosomal RNA
Source: RNAcentral